Molecule: long non-coding RNA, 656 nt
Organism: Capra hircus (goat)
Lineage: Eukaryota; Metazoa; Chordata; Mammalia; Artiodactyla; Bovidae
Exons: 5
Source: RefSeq, a predicted model, not a curated record
CUUGAAGAAAGUUUUAGAGACCUGAAGAAAGAAAGAUACUUCAAACUUCAUUCUUUGCAGUAUCCAGAGCAGUGUUUCUCAACAUUGGUUACAGGAUACCUUCCCAUCUCCUGUCAUCCGGUGUCAUCAUCAUCUUUACUUUGAGGGAUGCAUGAAGAGGAGAACAGUCUGGAGAGAGUGGUCUUUCAUGGUGUCCACUUGCACUGACAUGAAGAGAAAGGAGUCUGAUCAUUUGUGGCCUGUUUGACCAGUCAGCUUCGCUCUGCUCUGAGCCCAGGCCCAUAUUUCUCAUUUCACCACACCCAUAAGUGCUUUCUGACUUGGAAAUGGAGAUUAAAUUUAGGUGAUGGACAAAUUGAAGAAUUCCUGACACCUUGGAUGGUGAAGCAAGAGAGAUUUGUCCCAGGACAGUUGGUGUAAGAAGAGGGGAGAAUAAAAGAACGAAAUGAGUGAGAUUUGGCUGAGUGCUUCCCCACAAUGGAAGGAAAAUUUAAGAAAGUUGCUCCAGUUUGGACCCUCUGGAUGGCUUAUAACUUGGAGAAAGGUAAUGUGUCUAUGUAUGUUUGAGUGUGAGUAUGUGUGAGUGUGUGUGUUUGUGUGUAUGUAUGAGUGCAGGUAUUUUUCAUGAACUGGAACAUUUGGGCACCUUUGGGACA